This 252-nucleotide ribosomal RNA is filed under the name uncultured Bacteroidales bacterium. RNAcentral's name for it is "partial 16S ribosomal RNA". It matches the Rfam family "Bacterial small subunit ribosomal RNA", at positions 524 to 776 of the family's 1533-position model. Lineage: Bacteria; Pseudomonadati; Bacteroidota; Bacteroidia; Bacteroidales. The record is from RNAcentral.
UACGGAGGAUGCGAGCGUUAUCCGGAUUUAUUGGGUUUAAAGGGUGCGUAGGCGGGUUAUCAAGUCAGCGGUAAAAUCGCGGGGCUCAACCCCGCUCCGCCGUUGAAACUGUGUCCCUUGAGUGCGCGAAGGGUAGGCGGAAUUCGUGGUGUAGCGGUGAAAUGCUUAGAUAUCACGAAGAACUCCGAUUGCGAAGGCAGCCUGCUGGACUGUAACUGACGCUGAUGCUCGAAAGUGUGGGUAUCAAACAGG